Molecule: ribosomal RNA, 424 nt
Filed under: uncultured bacterium
Lineage: Bacteria
Description: bacterial SSU rRNA
Rfam family: Bacterial small subunit ribosomal RNA
Source: RNAcentral
UGGGGAAUCUUGGACAAUGGGCGAAAGCCUGAUCCAGCCAUGCCGCGUGAGUGAAGAAGGCCUUAGGGUUGUAAAGCUCUUUUGGCAGGGACGAUAAUGACGGUACCUGCAGAAUAAGCCCCGGCAAACUUCGUGCCAGCAGCCGCGGUAAUACGAAGGGGGCUAGCGUUGUUCGGAUUUACUGGGCGUAAAGCGCACGUAGGCGGGUUGUUAAGUCAGGGGUGAAAUCCUGGAGCUCAACUCCAGAACUGCCUUUGAUACUGAAGAUCUUGAGUUCGGGAGAGGUGAGUGGAACUGCGAGUGUAGAGGUGAAAUUCGUAGAUAUUCGCAAGAACACCAGUGGCGAAGGCGGCUCACUGGCCCGAUACUGACGCUGAGGCACGAAAGCGUGGGGAGCAAACAGGAUUAGAUACCCCGGUAGUCC